ACGCAGGUACAAGGACAAAGAAUCGUCAAAUGAGAAUACCAAGAAGAGAUAGACAUCCAUGAUUUAUUGUUAGGAGGAAGAAGCAAGUUGCAGAACAUAUAAUACAGUAUGUUCAGGUUAAACAAGUGUGCAAAUUAAACCUUGUUCAACUUACAAGAAACAA
Molecule: long non-coding RNA, 163 nt
Organism: Homo sapiens (human)
Lineage: Eukaryota; Metazoa; Chordata; Mammalia; Primates; Hominidae
Source: Ensembl